This 2145-nucleotide ribosomal RNA is filed under the name Chaetoceros affinis. RNAcentral describes it as "partial Eukaryotic large subunit ribosomal RNA". The record is from RNAcentral. Lineage: Eukaryota; Bacillariophyta; Thalassiosirophyceae; Chaetocerotales; Chaetocerotaceae.
GGGCAUCACAGACCUGUUAUUGCCUCAAUCUUCCUAAAGUUUGAUACUUUAUGUCCCUCUAAGAAACAGCCGCCAAUGAAAGAUCAUUAACGCUAUUAUUUAGCAGGCUGAGGUCUCGUUCGUUAACGGAAUUAACCAGACAAAUCACUCCACCAACUAAGAACGGCCAUGCACCACCACCCAUAGAAUCAAGAAAGAGCUCUCAAUCUGUCAAUCCUAACUAUGUCUGGACCUGAUAAGUUUUCCCGUGUUGGGUCAAAUUAAGCCGCAGGUUCCACUCCUGGUGGUGCCCUUCCGUCAAUUUCUUUAAGUUUCAGCCUUGCGACCAUACUCCCCCCGGAACCCAAAGACUUUGAUUUCUCAUACAGUGCAGACGAGGACAAAUGUCACCCGCCCAUCCUGAGUCGGCAUAGUUUAUGGUGUAGACUACGACGGUAUCUAAUCAUCUUCGAUCCCCACACUUUCGUUCUUGAUCAAUGAAAACAUCCCUGGUAAAUGCUUUCGCAGUAGUUCGUCUUCCGUUAAUCUAAGAAUUUCACCUCUUACAACUGAAUACGAAUACCCACAACUGUCCCUAUUCAUCAUUACCACGGCGCGCAAACCAACAAAAUAGCACUGUGGUCCUAUCUUAUUAUUCCAUGCUAAUAUGUUCAACGACAUAAGUCUGCUUUGAACACUCCAAUUAACUCACAGUAAAUGAUGGGAAUCCCCAGCCCGACAACUCAAUGCCAGACAGGCUCCUCCCAAGGAUGGCCGGAGAGAGCAAGUACCCACCUUAAAGGUCGGACCGCACUCUCCCACCAGAAAUUCGACUACGAGCUUUUUAACUGCAACAACUAAAAUAUACGCUAUUGGAGCUGGAAUUACCGCGGCUGCUGGCACCAGACUUGCCCUCCAAUUGAUCCUCGAUAAGGGAUUUAAAUUGUUCUCAUUCCAAUUGCCAGACCUCGAAAGAGGCCCGGCAUUGUUAUUUAUUGUCACUACCUCUCUGUGUCAGAAUUGGGUAAUUUACGCGCCUGCUGCCUUCCUUGGAUGUGGUGGCCAUCUCUCAGGCCCCCUCUCCGGAAUCAAACCCUAAUCUCCCGUUACCCGUUAUCGCCAUGGUAGACCAAUACUCUACCAUCAGAGCUGAUAGGGCAGAAACUUGAAUGAUCCAUCGCCGGCAGAGCCAUGCGAUUCGCAAAGUUAUUAUGAAUCACCAGUACGCCACCGAGGUGGGUUGGUUUAUAUCUAAUAAAUACUAUCCUUCCCGAGAGUUGGAUAUUGAUGCACGUAUUAGCUCUAGAAUUACUACAGGUAUCCGAGUAGUAAGGGAUUAUCAAAUAAACUAUAACUGAUAUAAUGAGCCAUUCGCAGCUUCGAAGUAUUAAUACUUAUACUUAGACAUGCAUGGCUUAAUCUUUGAGACGAGCGUAUGACUUCUGGCAGAAUCAACCAGGUUGCUAUCUUCAAAAACUCAUUCUCCGGUUCAAUACUGAAGUCGGUGAACCAGAAAGAGUACCUACAGGAGGUCCUCUCUAAGGGUGAUUUCACACAUACAAAUGUAUCAAGACAUGGGGAAGUGGGUUCCAUCAGAUGAGGAGAUACGCACAGGACACCCACCCGUGAUAGGGCAGGACGACCAGGCAUACCAUCAACCAUCAAUUCUUCAUUGUCCCCUUUGAUCGCAAUUCUAGGCACCAGAUCGUACAGUCUCCUUUCGGGCCAAGUAAUAUGACCUUGGGGGUUUGUACAACUAGGAUUCAGACCUACGAAGGACGGUGGUUGGCUGAUUAGGUAGCGCCUUAGCAGCUCCAUGUAUCAACUACCUCUCCGCCCAAGUUUUUUGUGAACUAUCACUUCGCAACAUGCGUAGCAACAAAUCAACACUCUCCUUAUGGAUCGCACACGAUAGGUAAGUAUCGCGUAGACCCAAGUUUGAGAUACAGCAAAAGCUGUGUAAUACAUCUCUGAUAUGGUGCGGGUACAGCCGCGGCGACACUCGGGUGUGUGUGUCUCCGACGGAGCAUCCUCGCGCCUUGUGUCAAGAAUUUAGUAUGUUUUAUCACCUCGAGAGCAGGGGAGAUGAAUAUCUGGACUUACGAUUACAGGAGCACCGACAUUAUUACAUCGUUCUCGCUGGCCAGUAUGACACUUUUCUGCCGC